This 778-nucleotide ribosomal RNA is filed under the name uncultured archaeon. Its description in RNAcentral is "bacterial SSU rRNA". It matches the Rfam family "Archaeal small subunit ribosomal RNA", at positions 516 to 1294 of the family's 1478-position model. The record is from RNAcentral.
CGUCCGUAGCCGGCUUGGUAAGUCUUUCGUCAAAUCCGGCGAUUCCAUCGUCGGACCGCGGAAGAUACUUCCAGGCUUGAGGACGGGAGAGGUCGACGGUAGUCCCGGGGUAGGGGUGAAAUCCUAUAAUCCCGGGAGGACCACCAGUGGCGAAGGCGGUCGACUAGAACGUGCCUGACGGUGAUGGACGAGAGCUGGGGGAGCGAACCGGAUUAGACACCCGGGUAGUCCCAGCCGUAAACGAUGCGAGCUAGGUGUUGGAGCAACUACGGGUUGCUCCAGUGCCGCAGAGAAGUUGUUAAGCUCGCCGCCUGGGAAGUACGGCCGCAAGGCUGAAACUUAAAGGAAUUGGCGGGGGAGCACCACAAGGGGUGAAGCCUGCGGUUCAAUUGGAGUCAACGCCGGGAAACUUACCGGGGCUGACAGCAGGGUGAAGGCCAGAUUGAGGGUCUUGCCAGACAAGCUGAGAGGAGGUGCAUGGCCGUCGCCAGUUCGUGCCGUGAGGUGUCCUGUUAAGUCAGGCAACGAACGAGACCCUCACCUCUAGUUGCCAGCGGAUUCCCUUGGAAUGCCGGGCACACUAGAGGGACUGCCGUCGAUAAGGCGGAGGAAGGAGAGGGCUACGGCAGGUCAGUAUGCCCCGAAUGCCCCGGGCCACACGCGGGCUGCAAUGGUAGGGACAGAGGGCUCCGACCCCGAAAGGGGAAGGUAAUCCCUAAACCCUAUCUCAGUUGGGACUGAGGGCUGAAACCCGCCCUCAUGAACAUGGGAUCCCUAG